RNAcentral lists this long non-coding RNA (1004 nucleotides) under Zonotrichia albicollis (white-throated sparrow). RNAcentral describes it as "lncRNA (ENSZALG00000008426.1)". Lineage: Eukaryota; Metazoa; Chordata; Aves; Passeriformes; Passerellidae. The record is from RNAcentral.
CCCUCUCUCUCUCUCUCCAGGCAGAGCCCGUGGGCUGGCAGCUCAGUUCGUCUGACCCAGCGGUGGCAUCACCAGGUCUUCCAUUGAAAGCCAAGGGCUUGCAGGGAGAGCGAGGGGAAUUCCCGCCUGCAAAUGCAAAGGUGGAUGCCAGGCAGGACGAGUGUAGCCUCAGGGUCAAGCUACAGAGCUGUUACAGGACUCGUUUCCCCGCAGCAGGACAGCAGAGCAAAGAGCUUGAGGGGAGAGUUUCUAGCACAGCUGAAGUGAGAAGCCUUUUUGUGUCUUGCCUACAGCUUUAUCUACUUUGGCAAAUAAGUAGAGAAAAAAAAAACGGAAAAAAACCCACUUUAGUUGAACAGUUACAUAACUCUUCUGAGUUGACCUAAAGACUAAAUUAAGAAUUCUAGGAAUACAAGACAAUUCCCAGUCAGGAUUAUAUACUCUUGGAUAUUGUGCAUUUGAGGACUACAGGCGCAGGGGCCAUCAGAAAUCUCACCCUAAGUCUUCCAUUCCUUGCUAGCAGGGAACAUGGGAUAUACUUCUGGUUCUCUCCAACCUGUUGCUUCUAUUGUUAGGAUAUUAUUUAAGGCAAGUUUUGUCAUUAUAUUAAGUAUCAGAUUUGUUGUGUAUCUUAUAUGCUUGAUUAUAAUUAUAAUUCAUUAAUUGAUUACAGAAUUUUUAAAUAGUUUGUCUACUGAGAUUCUGUGGCUACAAGCAUAAGGUAGGGUCUUACUCAGCAUUAGUUUAGAAGACAAGCCUUUAAGCAAGCUACUUCAAUGUUUUGGCUUUACAGUACUUUUGUCUUUCUCCCUAGCUCUCAAUUCCUUCAUCACAAUAACUCCAGUCUUCCUCUCAAACUAUUCAGAAGACUAUUGUUAAUAUUUACACUAAACUUUGUUUUUACUUUCUUCUUUUAGCCAGCCCCAUAAUUUCCCCUUCUCUCAUUAGCAAUUAAAAAAAGUUUAAAAAAUAAAUAUGGCUGUUGUGUUUUUUGUUUGGGUGGG